GGGCCGCUAGCUCAGUAGGUAGAGCACCGGCCUUUUAAGCCGGGUGUCCCGAGUUCGAUUCUCGGGCGGCUCA
Molecule: transfer RNA, 73 nt
Filed under: Candidatus Omnitrophota bacterium
Lineage: Bacteria; Pseudomonadati; Candidatus Omnitrophota
Description: tRNA-Lys
Rfam family: tRNA
About the family: Transfer RNA (tRNA) molecules are approximately 80 nucleotides in length.
Source: RNAcentral